GACGAACGCUGGCGGCGUGCUUAACACAUGCCAGUCGAACGGAAAGGCCCUGCUUUCGUGUGGUUCUCGAGUGGCGAACGUGUGAGUAACACGUGAGUAAGCUGCCCUGGACUUUGUGAUAUCUGCAGGAAACUGGUGCUAAUACCGGAGAGCUGCUCCUGCUGCAUGGUGGUGGUCGGAAAUUUUCGGCGGUUGGGGAUGGACUCGCGGCUUAUCAGCUUGUGGGUUGGGUAGUGGCGUACCAAGGCUUUGACGGGUGGCCGGCCUGAGAGGGUGACCGGCGACAUUGGGACUGAGAUACGGCCCAGACUCCUACGGGAGGCAGCAGUGGGGAAUAUUGCACAAUGGGCGGAAGCCUGAUGCAGCAACGCCGCGUGCGGGAUGACGGCCUUCGGGUUGUAAACCGCUUUCGCCUGUGACGAAGCGUGAGUGACGGUAAUGGGUAAAGAAGCACCGGCUAACUACGUG
This 468-nucleotide ribosomal RNA is filed under the name uncultured bacterium. Its description in RNAcentral is "partial 16S ribosomal RNA". It matches the Rfam family "Bacterial small subunit ribosomal RNA", at positions 28 to 507 of the family's 1533-position model. The record is from RNAcentral.